AUUUAACACAGUAGACACUAAGAGGAUAUCAGCAUAAAAUGACGCUAAAACUGUCAGGUAAUUCAAUUUCUUCUACAACAGCAAACACAUGUAACAGUUAUUUUGUAGUGAUUUUUUUUGCCUAAUAGACAUAUGCAGCAGAUAUUGGCAGACAUACACAAUAUAACGUACACAGGCAUUUUCAGACUGAAAAGAAUAAUGAUAGAAUAAUAAUAAUAAUAAUAAUAAUAAUAAUUUGGAUUAACUAUACUGUUCAGCCAUGAGUCAACAUUUUUCUCUUUGUCUAAUACUUGCGAUCACCCACCGUUUAAAGAUAUGUGUACAGUGCAUAUAGAAUAUAAGACUAAAAUAAGUUUGCCGUAUAUGGCUAUUAAUGCAAUUGAAAGGUUAGGUGUUUCAUGUUUUGGCUGUUGUAGACAUUUUAUUCUUCUCAAAUUAGCCAAAUGUGGGACAUGUGUAAUUUUUUGCCUGCCUUUCUGUGUCUUAUUUCUCUUCUUUACCAUUGUGAUCUGGAAUUCAUUACACUGAAUACACCGUCUCCACAUUUAAGAGUAGGCUUAAGACUUUCCUUUUUGAUAAAGCUUAUAGUUAGGGCAUAGAAUCGAAUAUUGUUAGGGAGUGUAGUUAGUCACAUAGUUUUCAGAUUAUCUAUCAUAUAAUAACUAAAGGGGACUUGGCAUACAGCCCGAUCGGUUGGGGGGAGUUUGGCCCGACCGGGCUGGGCUCUCUAACUGUCUCUCUUGGUUUGUGUGUAAUAAUAGUUUUAGACAGCUUGGGACUUAUUUUGAUACACUAGUUGGGCAUAGAAUCGAAUAUUGUUAGGGAGUGUAGUUAGUCACAUAGUUUUCAGAUUUAUCUAUCAUAUAAUCAAGAAUAUA
Etheostoma spectabile (orangethroat darter) is the source of this 878-nucleotide long non-coding RNA. RefSeq lists it as uncharacterized. Lineage: Eukaryota; Metazoa; Chordata; Actinopteri; Perciformes; Percidae. The transcript has 2 exons. The record is from RefSeq and is a predicted model, not a curated record.